UACGGAAGGCAGCAGUGGGGAAUAUUGCACAAUGGGCGCAAGCCUGAUGCAGCCAUGCCGCGUGUAUGAAGAAGGCCUUCGGGUUGUAAAGUACUUUCAGUCGUGAGGAAGGUGUUAAGGUUAAUAACCUUAGCAAUUGACGUUAGCGACAGAAGAAGCACCGGCUAACUCCGUGCCAGCAGCCGCGGUAAUACGGAGGGUGCGAGCGUUAAUCGGAAUUACUGGGCGUAAAGGGCACGCAGGCGGUUAAUUAAGUUGGAUGUGAAAUCCCCGGGCUUAACCUGGGAAUGGCAUUCAAGACUGGUUAGCUAGAGUCUUGUAGAGGGGGUAGAAUUCCAUGUGUAGCGGUGAAAUGCGUAGAGAUGUGGAGGAAUACCGGUGGCGAAGGCGGCCCCUGGACAAAAGACUGACGCUCAUGUGCGAAAGCGUGGGGAGCAAAACAGGGAUUAGAUAACC
RNAcentral lists this ribosomal RNA (456 nucleotides) under uncultured bacterium. RNAcentral's name for it is "bacterial SSU rRNA". It matches the Rfam family "Bacterial small subunit ribosomal RNA", at positions 340 to 787 of the family's 1533-position model. The record is from RNAcentral.